RNAcentral lists this ribosomal RNA (381 nucleotides) under uncultured bacterium. RNAcentral describes it as "bacterial SSU rRNA". It matches the Rfam family "Bacterial small subunit ribosomal RNA", at positions 28 to 415 of the family's 1533-position model. The record is from RNAcentral.
AACGAACGCUGGCGGCAUGCUUAACACAUGCAAGGUCGAACGCUCGGGUUUCGGCCCGGAGUGGCGCACGGGUGAGUAGCGCGUGGGAACCUGCCCUGAAGUGGGGGAUAACCGAUGGAAACGUCGGCUAAUACCGCAUACGCCGGGUGUCUUGAGAGAGAUGUCCCGGGAAAGAUUUAUCGCUUUAGGAGGGGCCCGCGUCGGAUUAGCUAGUUGGUGGGGUAACGGCCUACCAAGGCGAUGAUCCGUAGCUGGUCUGAGAGGAUGAUCAGCCACACUGGGACUGAGACACGGCCCAGACUCCUACGGGAGGCAGCAGGUGGGGAAUAUUGGACAAUGGGCGCAAGCCUGAUCCAGCAAUGCCGCGUGAGUGAGGGAAGG